This 90-nucleotide ribosomal RNA is filed under the name Escherichia coli. RNAcentral describes it as "partial 16S ribosomal RNA". It matches the Rfam family "Bacterial small subunit ribosomal RNA", at positions 1 to 89 of the family's 1533-position model. RNAcentral also lists the same sequence under 70 other names. The record is from RNAcentral. Lineage: Bacteria; Pseudomonadati; Pseudomonadota; Gammaproteobacteria; Enterobacterales; Enterobacteriaceae.
UUAAAUUGAAGAGUUUGAUCAUGGCUCAGAUUGAACGCUGGCGGCAGGCCUAACACAUGCAAGUCGAACGGUAACAGGAAGCAGCUUGCU